CCUACGGGUGGCAGCAGUGGGGAAUAUUGCACAAUGGGGGCAACCCUGAUGCAGCGACGCCGCGUGAAGGAAGAAGUAUUUCGGUAUGUAAACUUCUAUCAGCAGGGAAGAAAAUGAUGGUACCUGACUAAGAAGCCGCGGCUAACUACUUGCCAGCAGCCGCGGUAAUACGGAGGAUGCGAGCGUUAUCCGGAUUUAUUGGGGUUAAGGGGUGCGUAGGCGGAUUUUUAAGUCAGCGGUAAAAGGUCCGGGCUCAACCCGGGCCGGCCGUUGAAACUGGGGAUCUUGAGUGGGCGAGAAGUAUGCGGAAUGCGUGGUGUAGCGGUGAAAUGCAUAGAUAUCACGCAGAACUCCGAUUGCGAAGGCAGCAUGCCGGCGCCCGACUGACGCUGAGGCACGAAAGCGUGGGGAUCGAACAGGAUUAGAUACCCGUGUAGUC
This 439-nucleotide ribosomal RNA is filed under the name uncultured bacterium. Its description in RNAcentral is "partial 16S ribosomal RNA". It matches the Rfam family "Bacterial small subunit ribosomal RNA", at positions 338 to 795 of the family's 1533-position model. The record is from RNAcentral.